AAGUUAGUAAGGAUAAUGGUUCAGUUACUAGUAAGGUUGAAAACUAUUUCAUAAAUGUAUAAUUUCUUGAACAAAUCUUUGUUAUUCAGCAGUGUUAGAAAGAGGACCUACACACAACACAGACUGUCCUUCCCCACUGGAAUCAGAUUGCAUUAUCAUUGGUAUUGCCUGAAGCACGCACGGUUCACAAAUACCGUGACCAUCCUCAUUGAGUAUCGAUAUCCAUACGGAUCGCAUUCUGCCCUCAGGAAGGAAGAAUCCCACGGGAAGGAAGGAUGUUAUGGGUGAAACAAAGGAAA
Molecule: long non-coding RNA, 299 nt
Organism: Helicoverpa zea (corn earworm)
Lineage: Eukaryota; Metazoa; Arthropoda; Insecta; Lepidoptera; Noctuidae
Exons: 3
Source: RefSeq, a predicted model, not a curated record